RNAcentral lists this ribosomal RNA (747 nucleotides) under uncultured bacterium. Its description in RNAcentral is "bacterial SSU rRNA". It matches the Rfam family "Bacterial small subunit ribosomal RNA", at positions 59 to 819 of the family's 1533-position model. The record is from RNAcentral.
CAGUCGAACGAGAGAGAGGAAGCUUGCUUCCUCAAUCGAGUGGCGAACGGGUGAGUAACGCGUGAGGAACCUGCCUCAAAGAGGGGGACAACAGUUGGAAACGACUGCUAAUACCGCAUAAGCCCACAGCUCGGCAUCGAGCAGAGGGAAAAGGAGCAAUCCGCUUUGAGAUGGCCUCGCGUCCGAUUAGCUAGUUGGUGAGGUAACGGCCCACCAAGGCGACGAUCGGUAGCCGGACUGAGAGGUUGAACGGCCACAUUGGGACUGAGACACGGCCCAGACUCCUACGGGAGGCAGCAGUGGGGGAUAUUGCACAAUGGGGGAAACCCUGAUGCAGCGACGCCGCGUGGAGGAAGAAGGUUUUCGGAUUGUAAACUCCUGUCGUUAGGGACGAUAAUGACGGUACCUAACAAGAAAGCACCGGCUAACUACGUGCCAGCAGCCGCGGUAAAACGUAGGGUGCAAGCGUUGUCCGGAAUUACUGGGUGUAAAGGGAGCGCAGGCGGGAAGACAAGUUGGAAGUGAAAACCAUGGGCUCAACCCAUGAAUUGCUUUCAAAACUGUUUUUCUUGAGUAGUGCAGAGGUAGAUGGAAUUCCCGGUGUAGCGGUGGAAUGCGUAGAUAUCGGGAGGAACACCAGUGGCGAAGGCGGUCUACUGGGCACCAACUGACGCUGAGGCUCGAAAGCAUGGGUAGCAAACAGGAUUAGAUACCCUGGUAGUCCAUGCCGUANACGAUGAUUACUAG